UGACAAUUACGUGGUGACAUUAUUUGAGUGGCAACGAUAGAAUAUACUAGAUUGAACAUGGAAUUAUUUAGUAACAAUUUCUGGUAACACUACGUUUGGAAAAGCUUUUUUAUCAUCAUGGCAGACACGGAGCCCUCGCGCAGCUGCCCCGCUUGUCUCGUCCAGGAUCUGCGCCGGAUUGGAGCAUCGUCUGUGCUUGCAUUGUUGAAUGAACAAUGCAAGCAUAUUGCACUUGCCCGUAGGUGAUAGUGUGAGGCAGCAAGUCAUCUGGCUGCGUGUAGUGGCGUGUGUGGUGACAUCGUGAUGUGUGAGGCAGUGAAUCUUCUGCCCCCAGGUAAGUUGCUGCAUGUGGUGGUGCUUGUGGUGAUAUUGUGAGUACGUCAUUUGCAUCUUGUGUGUAGGCUGUAUUCGCUAACGUUGUCGUUCUUUUCUUCUAGGUCGCCGUAUCUGAGAGUGAGCAAGCGUGCUGCACUUGCCCGUUGGUGGAUUUGUGAGGGCAGCAAGUCAUCUGCCCCCAGGUUAGUUGCUGCGUGGAGUGGUGCGUGCGGUGAGCAUCGUCGCCGUCUGUGUUGGUGAGCUGGGCACUGUACCACAAGUGCUUCGUGGGACAGUGUAGAUGCGUCAGUUUUGUUUGUGAGUGAAUCGCGGAAUCAAUUGCCGAUGGCCUUUUUUGUUGUCAAGCGAGAAGUGUGUUGCUCCAUCUAUAGCCAAAAUGUAACAGGACAAUCGGAGAUGACUGGAGAGAUGCUUCUUUGGAUGGCUGGAGUAUUGGGUGCUAAUAACCGCGCAUACGAGAGUGGCAGUGCCACAUUUUCUGUGCGAUUAUGGAUUGAUUGCAGCAUACGUCUUGGAUUCUGACACUUU
Long non-coding RNA from Drosophila albomicans, 864 nucleotides. RefSeq lists it as uncharacterized. The record is from RefSeq and is a predicted model, not a curated record. Lineage: Eukaryota; Metazoa; Arthropoda; Insecta; Diptera; Drosophilidae. The transcript is spliced from 5 exons.